Molecule: microRNA precursor, 94 nt
Filed under: Canis lupus familiaris (dog)
Lineage: Eukaryota; Metazoa; Chordata; Mammalia; Carnivora; Canidae
Also listed under: 1 other name
Description: mir-8799 microRNA precursor family
Rfam family: mir-8799 microRNA precursor family
Source: Rfam by way of RNAcentral
GGGGGGAGCGCCAGGUCUUUGGCUGUGUCCCUUGGCGCCCUGGGCUCCCGGGCUUGUGCUGCUGGACUUGUGCUCCCGGGCUGUGCAGCCCCCU